RNAcentral lists this ribosomal RNA (253 nucleotides) under uncultured bacterium. RNAcentral describes it as "partial 16S ribosomal RNA". It matches the Rfam family "Bacterial small subunit ribosomal RNA", at positions 524 to 776 of the family's 1533-position model. The record is from RNAcentral.
GGCGAAGGAUCCAAGCGUUAUCCGGAUUCAUUGGGUUUAAAGGGAGCGUAGGCGGACUUAUAAGUCAGUGGUGAAAGCCGAUAGCUUAACUAUCGAACUGCCAUUGAUACUGUAAGUCUAGAGUACAGAUGAUGUUGGCGGAAUAUGACAUGUAGCGGUGAAAUGCAUAGAUAUGUCAUAGAACACCGAUUGCGAAGGCAGCUGACAAAACUGUAACUGACGCUGAGGCUCGAAAGUGCGGGGAUCAAACAGG